This 615-nucleotide long non-coding RNA is filed under the name Canis lupus familiaris (dog). Its description in RNAcentral is "lncRNA (ENSCAFG00030003084.1)". The record is from RNAcentral. Lineage: Eukaryota; Metazoa; Chordata; Mammalia; Carnivora; Canidae.
CCUAAAUGCAAGGAUUGUUUUUGGGGUCAGAAGAGUUCCAGGAUUUCAUGUGAUUGCUCAUUCAAGUGCCUGGAUAGCUGGGAUGUGAAAUCUGCAUUCUUAAUCCUAGACCUUGGCCAGUCAUCUGAGAUAUCACCUCACUGGCAAGACUACAUGGCACUUAGACCACACUGCUUAAUGGACUCCUGUGAGAGGAAAGGGGUUGGCUCAUCAAGCAAGAUGGUCUCUCUGAAUCAGGCUUUAAAGUCUGCUGAGAUGACAAGUGACAAGUGAACCUGCUUGAUGAAUAUUUGGUGAUUGUCUGAUGAUGGAGAAUGAAGGAAGGAUUGGGAAUAAAGGAGUUGACAACUGCUCUGAAGUACUAGGUGCCUUAUCACUUUUAUUUUUUCAGAUUUUCUAUGUUGAAUGAGGCAUAAUCAUAAUAAUGCCAUUUCCGUGAACAUUGGCAGUUCAUCACAGGGUAAUGGGAUAAGGCUUGUCCUUCUGUCCUUCAUCCCUCCUUAACUACUUCUCUUCUCUUGACAAUAACAUUAAUUAGAAAGACCAAAAGAAUGUCAUUAAUUAACAUUGAACUUUUUGGAAGUGCCAAUGUUAAGGAAAUCCCCAAAGGAUCCU